Non-coding RNA from Lolium perenne, 664 nucleotides. The record is from RefSeq and is a predicted model, not a curated record. Lineage: Eukaryota; Viridiplantae; Streptophyta; Magnoliopsida; Poales; Poaceae.
UCCACCUUGGGAUGCCUCUCCUCCUUUGUCCCUUCCCAAUGCCACAAAUAAAUUCAGCUUGGGUCAAAUAUCUCUUCCCCAAACCAGCCUCCCAACUAACCCAAUCAAUGAAGAGGCUACCUCCCAACCAACCCAAUCAAUGAGGAGGCAGCCCACCCCCUCUCCCUCUAUAUAAAGGGGCUUGGCAGCCCACCCCCUCCUCACUUGCUCUCACUUUUCCACUCCCCACUCUCUCCUCCACUCCCACACACUCUCCUCCUACCUCUCCCCACGAAAUUGCUGCUCCUCCUAGCUUCAUGGCCGGCCAUGGCCAUGGAAAGCUCACCAAGAUGCAGCUCCUUCCUCCCUCAAGCUCAUCCUCACCAUGAGAGCCUCCCCCUCCAUCUUCUCCCCAACCUUAGAUGGUUUAAUCUCCUCUUCUUCUCCCUCCAUUGCUAAGAUUGGAUCUUGAUGCAGGUGCAUGUUGGUCCAAGCAUGGAGAAGAUUCUGGUACGAUCUUGUAAAAUCCGCCAAAUCUCGUGUGCAGAUCCAAAUCGAGUGGUUCAAAGUUCUGCAGAUAGGCAUUGAAAAUAUCUACAACUUGGCGUUGGUCUCAUCCUCAAAUUCGUUACGGAUUUUGCAUGAUAAAUAAAGUUCUGCAAACAUGCAGAAUCAUUGUUUGUUA